AUUGAACGCUGGCGGAGUGCUUUACACAUGCAAGUCGAACGGUAGAGGGGGCAACCCCUCGAGAGUGGCGAACGGGUGAGUAAUAUAACGGAACGUGCCCAGUCGUGGGGGAUAACGUAGCGAAAGUUACGCUAAUACCGCAUACGAUCUAAGGAUGAAAGCGGGGGAUCGCAAGACCUCGCGCGAUUGGAGCGGCCGAUAUCAGAUUAGGUAGUUGGUGGGGUAAAGGCUAACCAAGCCAACGAUCUGUAGCUGGUCUGAGAGGACGACCAGCCACACUGGAACUGAGACACGGUCCAGACUCCUACGGGAGGCAGCAGUGGGGAAUUUUGGACAAUGGACGCAAGUCUGAUCCAGCCAUUCCGCGUGCAGGAUGAAGGCCCUCGGGUUGUAAACUGCUUUUGUACGGAACGAAAAGGUCUCUCUUAAUACGGGGGGCUCAUGACGGUACCGUAAGAAUAAGCACCGGCUAACUACGUGCCAGCCGCCGCGGUAA
Molecule: ribosomal RNA, 496 nt
Filed under: uncultured bacterium
Lineage: Bacteria
Description: partial 16S ribosomal RNA
Rfam family: Bacterial small subunit ribosomal RNA
Source: RNAcentral